Molecule: ribosomal RNA, 497 nt
Filed under: uncultured bacterium
Lineage: Bacteria
Description: partial 16S ribosomal RNA
Rfam family: Bacterial small subunit ribosomal RNA
Source: RNAcentral
GAUGAACGCUGGCGGCGUGCCUAAUACAUGCAAGUCGAGCGAACAGAUAAGGAGCUUGCUCCUUUGACGUUAGCGGCGGACGGGUGAGUAACACGUGGGUAACCUACCUAUAAGACUGGGAUAACUUCGGGAAACCGGAGCUAAUACCGGAUAACAUUUGGAACCGCAUGGUUCUAAAGUGAAAGAUGGUUUUGCUAUCACUUAUAGAUGGACCCGCGCCGUAUUAGCUAGUUGGUAAGGUAACGGCUUACCAAGGCAACGAUACGUAGCCGACCUGAGAGGGUGAUAGGCCACACUGGAACUGAGACACGGUCCAGACUCCUACGGGAGGCAGCAGUAGGGAAUCUUCCGCAAUGGGCGAAAGCCUGACGGAGCAACGCCGCGUGAGUGAUGAAGGGUUUCGGCUCGUAAAACUCUGUUAUUAGGGAAGAACAAAUGUGUAAGUAACUGUGCACGUCUUGACGGUACCUAAUCAGAAAGCCACGGCUAACUACGUG